UGUUCUGUGGGACAGAUGCCAGUUCAGUUCUCCUUUUCCCCAGCUGCAGUUAGUGUAAAAGCUGGUUUCAGAUGGCUUGCCUAGCUCUAGACUGACAUCAAAUAGCUCAGCUCUGCAGACCCUAUUGCCUUUCACAUUAUGUCCUAUUGGACCUGAUUGCUGUUCCACCAGACACUAAGAGGUCAUGAGCGAGACUGGAACUCACAGGCUCUGAAAUCAAAAGACAGGACUCUUCCAUAUCAGCUCUUUUUGAGAAGCAAAUGCCCAGCCACUGCCUCUGCAUCAGGUAUAAUAAGGUGGAAAGCUGGUCUGUGGUUCAACAUAGCUUCUGCGAGGCUACAGGGCAGAGUACGUGACGGAUUAAUUUCUCUUUCACAAGACUGCCUGUGCCGAAAUAAGAAACUGUUAUUCCCAGGGGCUGGGCUUGCUGAAGUUAAAGACAUGCCUCCUUUAUCAAACUGCUUUCUGUGAUUCCUGCACGUUUC
This is a long non-coding RNA of Neopsephotus bourkii (Bourke's parrot), 485 nucleotides long. RefSeq lists it as uncharacterized. The record is from RefSeq and is a predicted model, not a curated record. The transcript has 3 exons. Lineage: Eukaryota; Metazoa; Chordata; Aves; Psittaciformes; Psittacidae.